UCCAGCUGUGUGUCUGUGAAGAGUGACGGGUCUAUGGAUCCGCCAACAAACUUUAAGAGUGGAGAUUCACAGCCUGAUCUCAGUUCAGCAGAAGCAGAGUCCAACUGUGUGUCUAUGAAGAGUGAACAUGACUAUGAUUCAGCCAAUAAACUUAAACAGUGGAGAUACACGGCCUGAUCCCAGCAAAGAAGUCCUCUCAACACAUUUAGAUCAAAUCUGCUGAAGAAGUUUAAGCAUCUCUGUGUGAGGGAACAGCGACGCAGAGAAACCCAACACUGCUGAAUGAGAUCUACACAGAGCUCUACAUCACAGAGAGUGAGAGUGGAGAGAUCAGUAAUGAGCAUGAAGUGAGACAUAUUGAGACACAAUCCAGGAGAGCAGCAACAGAGGACACAGCUAUCAAAUG
Cyprinus carpio (common carp) is the source of this 406-nucleotide long non-coding RNA. RefSeq lists it as uncharacterized. The transcript has 3 exons. The record is from RefSeq and is a predicted model, not a curated record. Lineage: Eukaryota; Metazoa; Chordata; Actinopteri; Cypriniformes; Cyprinidae.